RNAcentral lists this ribosomal RNA (460 nucleotides) under uncultured bacterium. RNAcentral's name for it is "partial 16S ribosomal RNA". It matches the Rfam family "Bacterial small subunit ribosomal RNA", at positions 338 to 795 of the family's 1533-position model. The record is from RNAcentral.
CCUACGGGUGGCAGCAGUGAGGAAUAUUGGUCAAUGGACGAGAGUCUGAACCAGCCAAGUAGCGUGAAGGAUGACUGCCCUAUGGGUUGUAAACUUCUUUUAUAUGGGAAUAAAAUGUUCCACGUGUGGGAUUUUGUAUGUACCAUAUGAAUAAGGAUCGGCUAACUCCGUGCCAGCAGCCGCGGUAAUACGGAGGAUGCGAGUGUUAUCCGGAUUUAUUGGGUUUAAAGGGUGCGUAGGUGGAUUGUUAAGUCAGUUGUGAAAGUUUGCGGCUCAACCGUAAAAUUGCAGUUGAAACUGGCAGUCUUGAGUACAGUAGAGGUGGGCGGAAUUCGUGGUGUAGCGGUGAAAUGCUUAGAUAUCACGAAGAACUCCGAUUGCGAAGGCAGCUUACUGGACUACAACUGACACUGAGGCUCGAAAGUGUGGGGAUCAAACAGGAUUAGAUACCCGGGUAGUC